Molecule: ribosomal RNA, 253 nt
Filed under: uncultured bacterium
Lineage: Bacteria
Description: partial 16S ribosomal RNA
Rfam family: Bacterial small subunit ribosomal RNA
Source: RNAcentral
UACGUAGGGGGCAAGCGUUGUCCGGAAUCAUUGGGCGUAAAGAGCGUGUAGGCGGCCAGAUAAGUCCGCUGUGAAAUCUCGAGGCUCAACUUCGAGCUGUCGGUGGAAACUGUCUGGCUAGAGUCCGGAAGAGGAGAAUGGAAUUCCUGGUGUAGCGGUGAAAUGCGCAGAUAUCAGGAGGAACACCGGUGGCGAAGGCGGGUCUCUGGGCCGUAACUGACGCUGAGGAGCGAAAGCAUGGGGAGCGAACAGG